RNAcentral lists this ribosomal RNA (380 nucleotides) under uncultured eukaryote. RNAcentral's name for it is "partial 18S ribosomal RNA". It matches the Rfam family "Eukaryotic small subunit ribosomal RNA", at positions 592 to 976 of the family's 1831-position model. The record is from RNAcentral.
CAAUAGCGUAUAUUAAAGUUGUUGCAGUUAAAACGCUCGUAGUCGGAUUUCGGGGCGGGUCCGCCGGUCUGCCGAUGGGUACGCACUGGCGGGCGCGUCCUUCCUUCCGGAGACUGGCCCUACUCUUAGCUGAGCGGGGUCGGGAGUCGGAUCGUUUACUUUGAAAAAAUCAGAGUGUUUCAAGCAGGCAGCUCGCUCUUGCAUGGAUUAGCAUGGGAUAAUGAAAUAGGACUUUGGUGCUAUUUUGUUGGUUUCGAACACCGAAGUAAUGAUUAACAGGGACAGUCAGGGGCACUCGUAUUCCGCCGAGAGAGGUGAAAUUCUCAGACCAGCGGAAGACGAACCACUGCGAAANCANNNGCCAGGGAUGUUUUCACNGA